RNAcentral lists this unclassified non-coding RNA (349 nucleotides) under soil metagenome. RNAcentral describes it as "partial contains 5.8S ribosomal RNA, internal transcribed spacer 2, and large subunit ribosomal RNA". The stretch from base 1 to 120 matches the Rfam family "5.8S ribosomal RNA", at positions 35 to 154 of the family's 154-position model. The record is from RNAcentral.
GAUGAAGAACGUAGUGAAAUGCGAUAACUAAUGUGAAUUGCAGAAUUCCGUGAAUCAUCGAGUCUUUGAACGCACAUUGCGCCCCCUGGUAUUCCGGGGGGCAUGCCUGUCCGAGCGUCAUUGCUGCCCAUCAAGCACGGCUUGUGUGUUGGGUCCUCGUCCCCCCCGGGGGACGUGCCCGAAAGGCAGCGGCGGCACCGCGUCCGGUCCUCGAGCGUAUGGGGCUUUGUCACCCGCUCUGCAGGCCCGGCCGGCGCUGGCCGACGCGAAAGCAACCAUUUUUUCUCCAGGUUGACCUCGGAUCAGGUAGGGAUACCCGCUGAAUUUAAGCAUAUCAAUAAGCGGAGGA